GACGAACGCUGGCGGCGUGCUUAACACAUGCAAGUCGAACGGAAAGGCCUCUUUCGGGGGGUACUCGAGUGGCGAACGGGUGAGUAACACGUGAGUAACCUGCCCUUGACUUUGGGAUAACUUCAGGAAACUGGGGCUAAUACCGGAUAGGAGCUCCUGCUGCAUGGUGGGGGUUGGAAAGUUUCGGCGGUUGGGGGUGGACUCGCGGCUUAUCAGCUUGUUGGUGGGGUAGUGGCUUACCAAGGCUUUGACGGGUAGCCGGCCUGAGAGGGUGACCGGCCACAUUGGGACUGAGAGACGGCCCAGACUCCUACGGGAGGCAGCAGUGGGGAAUAUUGCACAAUGGGUGGAAGCCUGAUGCAGCAACGCCGUGUGCGGGAUGACGGCCUUCGGGUUGUAAACCGCUUUCGCUCAUGACGAAGCUUUGUGUGACGGUAGUGGGUAAAGAAGCACCGGCUAACUACGUG
This 467-nucleotide ribosomal RNA is filed under the name uncultured bacterium. RNAcentral describes it as "partial 16S ribosomal RNA". It matches the Rfam family "Bacterial small subunit ribosomal RNA", at positions 28 to 507 of the family's 1533-position model. The record is from RNAcentral.